GGUGGAGCUUAGUGGUAAAGUGCAUGUUUAGCAGGAAUGAGGUCCUGGGUUCUAUCCCCAGCACC
This 65-nucleotide transfer RNA is filed under the name Ictidomys tridecemlineatus (thirteen-lined ground squirrel). RNAcentral's name for it is "Spermophilus tridecemlineatus (thirteen-lined ground squirrel) tRNA". It matches the Rfam family "tRNA". Rfam says of the family: Transfer RNA (tRNA) molecules are approximately 80 nucleotides in length. Their secondary structure includes four short double-helical elements and three loops (D, anti-codon, and T loops). Lineage: Eukaryota; Metazoa; Chordata; Mammalia; Rodentia; Sciuridae. The record is from Rfam by way of RNAcentral.